AUACGUAGGGGGCGAGCGUUAUCCGGAUUUAUUGGGAGUAAAGCGUGUGUAGGCGGUUUGUUAAGUUUAAGAUUAAAGCCCGAGGCUUAACCUCGGUUCGUCUUAAAAACUGGCAGACUUGAGUGCAGUAGAGGCAAGUGGAAUUUCUAGUGUAGCGGUUAAAUGCGUUGAUAUUAGAAGGAACACCAGUGGCGAAGGCGGAUUGCUGGGCUGUUACUGACGCUGAGACACGAAAUCGUGGGGUGCAAAUAGGAUUAGAUACCCUGGUAGUCCACACUGUAAACGAUGAAUGCUAGUUGUAGGGAGUAUCGACCCCUUCUGUGCCGCAGUCAACACAAUAAGCAUUCAGCCUGGGGAGUUCGGCAGUAAGGUGGAAACUCAAAUGAAUUGACGGGU
This 396-nucleotide ribosomal RNA is filed under the name uncultured bacterium. Its description in RNAcentral is "partial 16S ribosomal RNA". It matches the Rfam family "Bacterial small subunit ribosomal RNA", at positions 523 to 918 of the family's 1533-position model. The record is from RNAcentral.